UAGGGAAUUUUCGGCAAUGGACGGAAGUCUGACCGAGCAACGCCGCGUGAGUGAAGAAGGUUUUUGGAUUGGAAAGCUCUGUUUUUAGAGAAGAACGUUGUUACGAGCGGAAAAUCUACCAAGUUACGGUAACUAACCAUAAAGGGACGGCUAACUACGUGCCAGCAGCCGUGGUAAUACGUAGGUCCCGAUCGUUGUCCGGAUUUAUUGGGCGUAAAGCUAGCGCAGGCGGUUCUUUAAGUCUGAAUUUAAAGGCGGUGGCUUAACCAUUGAAGGCUUUGGAAGCUGGAGGACUUGAAUGCAGAAGGGGAGAGUGGAUUUCCAGGGGUAGCGGAGAAAUGCGUAAGUAUAUGGAGAAACACCGGUGGAGAAAACGGCUAUCUGGUCUGUAACUGACGCUGAGGCUCGAAAGCAUGGGGAGGAAACAGG
RNAcentral lists this ribosomal RNA (429 nucleotides) under Bacillota bacterium. RNAcentral describes it as "Firmicutes bacterium partial 16S ribosomal RNA". It matches the Rfam family "Bacterial small subunit ribosomal RNA", at positions 355 to 776 of the family's 1533-position model. The record is from RNAcentral. Lineage: Bacteria; Bacillati; Bacillota.